This 250-nucleotide unclassified non-coding RNA is filed under the name uncultured fungus. RNAcentral's name for it is "sequence contains 5.8S rRNA gene". The stretch from base 1 to 53 matches the Rfam family "5.8S ribosomal RNA", at positions 102 to 154 of the family's 154-position model. The record is from RNAcentral. Lineage: Eukaryota; Fungi.
GAACGCAUAUUGCGCCUCCUGGUAUUCCGGGAGGCAUGCCUGUUCGAGCGUCAUUAAAAACCAUCAAGCACUCUUGCUUGGACUUGGGAGAUGAGUGCCUACGGUCCUCACUGCCGAAAUUGAAUGGCGGAUAGCCUUGGGGUGCUCCAGCGUAGUAAGUCUUUCGCUUGGAACCCGAGACGGUCCCGCCCUCAACCCCCACAUUCCAUGGUUGACCUCGGAUCAGGUAGGGAUACCCGCUGAACUUAAG